UACGUAGGGGGCAAGCGUUAUCCGGAUUUACUGGGUGUAAAGGGAGCGUAGGCGGCAAUACAAGUCAGAAGUGAAAACCCAAGGCUCAACCAUGGGACUGCUUUUGAAACUGUGUUGCUAGAGUACAGGAGAGGUAAGCGGAAUUCCUAGUGUAGCGGUGAAAUGCGUAGAUAUUAGGAGGAACAUCAGUGGCGAAGGCGGCUUACUGGACUGAAACUGACGCUGAUGCUCGAAAGCGUGGGGAGCAAACAGG
Molecule: ribosomal RNA, 253 nt
Filed under: uncultured bacterium
Lineage: Bacteria
Description: partial 16S ribosomal RNA
Rfam family: Bacterial small subunit ribosomal RNA
Source: RNAcentral